Non-coding RNA from Cinara cedri, 99 nucleotides. NCBI's taxonomy places the organism in Eukaryota, Metazoa, Arthropoda, Insecta, Hemiptera, Aphididae. The record is from the annotation of a GenBank genome assembly.
UUGCUGCCGCAAUUGUUGUUGCUGCAGUUGUUGUUGCUGCUGCAAUUGUUGUUGGUGCUGCAAUUGUUGUUGCUGCUGCAAUUGUUGUUGCUGCUGCAA